CCUGCUUCUAGAGGCAUCUCAGGUGCAGCUGCUGUGUCCUGUGUGUCCGUAGGUGGCACAGAGAGAGAGGCCAUGUCGACGCUUAGUGUUCUGACUUGUAAACAUUUAGACGGUUAGUGGUCCAACACG
Meriones unguiculatus (Mongolian gerbil) is the source of this 129-nucleotide small nucleolar RNA. The record is from Ensembl. Lineage: Eukaryota; Metazoa; Chordata; Mammalia; Rodentia; Muridae.